This 278-nucleotide ribosomal RNA is filed under the name Acanthamoeba hatchetti. Its description in RNAcentral is "partial 18S ribosomal RNA". The stretch from base 1 to 245 matches the Rfam family "Eukaryotic small subunit ribosomal RNA", at positions 962 to 1112 of the family's 1831-position model. The record is from RNAcentral. Lineage: Eukaryota; Discosea; Longamoebia; Acanthamoebidae.
GGAUGUUUUCAUUAAUCAAGAACGAAAGUUAGGGGAUCGAAGACGAUCAGAUACCGUCGUAGUCUUAACCAUAAACGAUGCCGACCAGCGAUUAGGAGACGUUGAAUACAAAACACCACCAUUGGUGCGGUCGUCCUUGGCAUUUGGUCGUGGCGCGAGUCACGGCCAGGUGCGGGGACGGUUUAGCCUGAUGGAUUUCGGUGAAUGACUCCCUAGCAGCUUGUGAGAAUUGGAUGGCUUCUGUCACCACGUGCUGAAUCGUUUCUUCCGGCGUGAUG